RNAcentral lists this ribosomal RNA (549 nucleotides) under Salmonella enterica subsp. enterica serovar Paratyphi C. RNAcentral's name for it is "partial 23S ribosomal RNA". It matches the Rfam family "Bacterial large subunit ribosomal RNA", at positions 161 to 647 of the family's 2925-position model. The record is from RNAcentral. Lineage: Bacteria; Pseudomonadati; Pseudomonadota; Gammaproteobacteria; Enterobacterales; Enterobacteriaceae.
AAUCCAUAGGUUAAUGAGGCGAACCGGGGGAACUGAAACAUCUAAGUACCCCGAGGAAAAGAAAUCAACCGAGAUUCCCCCAGUAGCGGCGAGCGAACGGGGAGGAGCCCAGAGCCUGAAUCAGCAUGUGUGUUAGUGGAAGCGUCUGGAAAGGCGCGCGAUACAGGGUGACAGCCCCGUACACAAAAGCGCAUGUGCUGUGAGCUCGAUGAGUAGGGCGGGACACGUGGUAUCCUGUCUGAAUAUGGGGGGACCAUCCUCCAAGGCUAAAUACUCCUGACUGACCGAUAGUGAACCAGUACCGUGAGGGAAAGGCGAAAAGAACCCCGGCGAGGGGAGUGAAAAAGAACCUGAAACCGUGUACGUACAAGCAGUGGGAGCCCCACCACUAAGCCAGUGGUGAACUCCACAUACGCAUCCUUUGCUGAGGAUACGGUUAACGGAGCGAAAGCGACGUUCAACCGCAAAAGAAGCAGAGGGGGCUUAGUGGUGGGGUGACUGCGUACCUUUUGUAUAAUGGGUCAGCGACUUAUAUUCUGUAGCAAGGUU